This 107-nucleotide non-coding RNA is filed under the name unclassified sequences. The record is from RNAcentral.
CUCUUUAAGGUGAGAAUCCUUGACAAUCCUGUGGGGCUUAUAUCUCUAGCUGGGUUAGAACAAUCCUUGAAAUGUAUAGAGUAUUAGUGCAGACGUUAAAAUCAGGA